AAACACAAAGGGUUCCGAUAAAAUUCAUCUGGCUAUACGGUGAAAAUCCAAAGAUAACUCGUGGCCUAUUUAUAAACCAUGUUAGGCCUUUUUUCUUUUGGGCCAUCUAUUCUAUUAUAUAAAAAUCGGAUGUCUGCACUUAAUGAUGAAGCUGACGUGGCAUGCUUCUGAGAGUGUUUCCCGAUUUAAUUUAUUUGAUUUGAUUUGAUUUAAUUAUAUAUUUAAAUAUUAUAAUUAAUAUAAUUUAGAUAAUUUAUUAUCAUUUAUAUUAUUUAAUUAAUUAUACUACAUUAAUUAUAAUUCAUUAUAUUAAUUAAUUUGAAGGAUUAUUAACAUUAAUUUAUAAUACAUUAAUUUAUAAUCCUCUGACUUAAAUACAUUAAUUGGACCGGACCGGUAUACAUUCGGUUUGCCUAAUGCGAUGUCGUUUUGUGGGGGGGAGGAAUAACGCGUUAGUGCGUUACUGAUUGCUGGUCUUCCUCUUCUCUUUUCUUACUUUCAGUCAUUUCUUCAUUCAAAGAAAACAAAAAGGAAAAACCCUAGCUAGCCUCCACCGCCGCCGAACGGAGUGACUGGUUGCCGCCGUCCGUGGCUGUCCGAGGAGUCUUUCUUAUGUACUGUCGGUGUUUUCCAAGUCAGAUCCCCUAUUUGAUGUCUUCUUCAUCACUCGGCGCCCAUACUGGGUCUGAUUCUUCCUGUUGCUCGUGGUCGCUUUGUCGCCGUCGUCUCGGCGUCAUUAUCUCGAAG
This 747-nucleotide long non-coding RNA is filed under the name Arachis ipaensis. RNAcentral describes it as "long non-coding RNA (AIPA_LNC001620)". The record is from RNAcentral. Lineage: Eukaryota; Viridiplantae; Streptophyta; Magnoliopsida; Fabales; Fabaceae.